RNAcentral lists this ribosomal RNA (482 nucleotides) under uncultured bacterium. Its description in RNAcentral is "partial 16S ribosomal RNA". It matches the Rfam family "Bacterial small subunit ribosomal RNA", at positions 30 to 507 of the family's 1533-position model. The record is from RNAcentral.
AUUGAACGCUGGCGGCAGGCCUAACACAUGCAAGUCGAGCGGAUGAAGGGAGCUUGCUCCUGGAUUCAGCGGCGGACGGGUGAGUAAUGCCUAGGAAUCUGCCUGGUAGUGGGGGAUAACGUCCGGAAACGGGCGCUAAUACCGCAUACGUCCUGAGGGAGAAAGUGGGGGAUCUUCGGACCUCCCGCUAUCAGAUGAGCCUAGGUCGGAUUAGCUAGUUGGUGGGGUAAAGGCCUACCAAGGCGACGAUCCGUAACUGGUCUGAGAGGAUGAUCAGUCACAAUGGAACUGAGACACGGUCCAGACUCCUACGGGAGGCAGCAGUGGGGAAUAGUGGACAAUGGGCGAAAGCCUGAUCCAGCCAUGCCGCGUGUGAAGAAGGUCUUCGGAUUGUAAAGCACUUUAAGUUGGGAGGAAGGGCAGUAAGUUAAUACCUUGCUGUUUUGACGUUACCAACAGAAUAAGCACCGGCUAACUUCGUG